AAGUCGUAACAAGGUUUCCGUAGGUGAACCUGCGGAAGGAUCAUUAACGAGAUAAUGCUACUGCUCUACUGCGGUGGAGUGUAGUCAUUAAUAAUGAUAAUAAUUUGUUGAACGAUAGUCGCUCGUUUUAGCGUAAAGCUAAAAAUUGAAUUAUGUUAACGAGUAUGCUAGUUGGUUAAUGAUGUGCGUGCGCGCUUAAUUGCGUGCAUGUACAUAGAGCGACCGAACUACUGACUGCUGCUCGGGGUACGGCCCGUAGUGUAAUGCUACGGUGAGUCGUACCUGUGUCAUUUUAAAUUUGAGUAAUAGAAUUCGCGUACGCGUGUUUAAGCGCGAGUACGUGUAGACUUGUGAAAGAGAGAAUAAUAAUAAAAUGCAUAACUGCAAACGGUGGAUCACUCGGCUCACG
RNAcentral lists this unclassified non-coding RNA (409 nucleotides) under fungal sp. RNAcentral describes it as "partial internal transcribed spacer region". The stretch from base 1 to 46 matches the Rfam family "Eukaryotic small subunit ribosomal RNA", at positions 1786 to 1831 of the family's 1831-position model. The record is from RNAcentral. Lineage: Eukaryota; Fungi.